This 113-nucleotide unclassified non-coding RNA is filed under the name plant metagenome. RNAcentral describes it as "partial contains small subunit ribosomal RNA and internal transcribed spacer 1". The stretch from base 1 to 46 matches the Rfam family "Eukaryotic small subunit ribosomal RNA", at positions 1786 to 1831 of the family's 1831-position model. The record is from RNAcentral.
AAGUCGUAACAAGGUUUCCGUAGGUGAACCUGCGGAAGGAUCAUUAAGAAUUAUAAAUAUUUGUGAAAUUUACACAGCAAACAAUAAUUUUAUAGUCAAACAAAAUAAUCAAA